AAGACGGAGGAAGGUGGGGAUGACGUCAAAUCAUCAUGCCCCUUAUGUCCUGGGCUACACACGUGCUACAAUGGAUGGAACAACGGGCAGCCAACUCGCGAGAGUGCGCGAAUCCCUUAAAACCAUUCUCAGUUCGGAUUGCAGGCUGCAACUCGCCUGCAUGAAGCCGGAAUCGCUAGUAAUCGCGGAUCAGCAUGCCGCGGUGAAUACGUUCCCGGGUCUUGUACACACCGCCCGUCACACCACGAGAGUUUGCAACACCCGAAGUCGGUGAGGUAACCGCAAGGAGCCAGCCGCCGAAGGUGGGGCAGAUGAUUGGGGUGAAGUCGUAACAAGGUAUCCGUACCGGAAGGUGCGGAUGGAUCACCUCCUUUCUAUGGAGA
RNAcentral lists this ribosomal RNA (383 nucleotides) under Aneurinibacillus migulanus. Its description in RNAcentral is "bacterial SSU rRNA". It matches the Rfam family "Bacterial small subunit ribosomal RNA", at positions 1160 to 1533 of the family's 1533-position model. The record is from RNAcentral. Lineage: Bacteria; Bacillati; Bacillota; Bacilli; Caryophanales; Paenibacillaceae.